CAGGAGGGUGCAAGCGUUAAGUCGGAAUUACUGGGCGUAAAGCGCGCGUAGGCGGCUAAUUAAGUCGGGUGUGAAGGCCCCGGGCUCAACCUGGGAAUUGCAUCCGAUACUGAUUGGCUAGAGUAUGAGAGAGGGAGGUAGAAUUCCACGUGUAGCGGUGAAAUGCGUAGAUAUGUGGAGGAAUACCGGUGGCGAAGGCGGCCUCCUGGCUUAAUACUGACGCUGAGGUGCGAAAGCGUGGGGAUCAAACAGGAUUAGAUACCCUGGUAGUCCACGCCGUAAACGAUGUCAACUGGCCGUUGGGCACCUUAGUGUGCUUGGUGGCGCAGCUAACGCGAUAAGUUGACCGCCUGGGGAGUACGGUCGCAAGAUUA
Molecule: ribosomal RNA, 374 nt
Filed under: uncultured organism
Description: bacterial SSU rRNA
Rfam family: Bacterial small subunit ribosomal RNA
Source: RNAcentral